Non-coding RNA from Maylandia zebra (zebra mbuna), 457 nucleotides. Lineage: Eukaryota; Metazoa; Chordata; Actinopteri; Cichliformes; Cichlidae. The record is from RefSeq and is a predicted model, not a curated record.
CAGAGUAAUUUCCUGCACUUAUUUCCUGCCAUUGAACGCAUCACAAAUGCAUGACUCCAACCACAUGACUUUGCUCAGCCAAUCGAAUGGCAUGUAGGUCAUAGUAAGCCUGUCCCGGCUUCCUCCCGUCAGAUGCGUGGAGGCAAGCCAGGUGACAGAGCUGUUGCAGAUGCUGAUUACUGUGAGCCAGAGCCAUAAUGUUGUUGUGCACUGAACAGAAUGGAAUUGGCCAGGUGAACCUUUUUUGGGUAUGGAAAAGGAUGGCGAGCCAAUGAACGGCUAGGAGCAGGACUCAUUCUGCAUUGAAGCUUCCACUGGACUGGUAGGAAGCUAUCAAAGGCGACGCUCUGUCCCGUAAUUUCCGAAUACACUGAUUUCCACAAUCAUACACACCAGUUCCCCCGUUUAUGGACAAUAGCGCUUGGACAUCUCUCAUGGAUAUUCAGAUAAAACUCAU